This 186-nucleotide ribosomal RNA is filed under the name uncultured eukaryote. RNAcentral's name for it is "partial 18S ribosomal RNA". It matches the Rfam family "Eukaryotic small subunit ribosomal RNA", at positions 1299 to 1458 of the family's 1831-position model. The record is from RNAcentral.
UGGUGGAGUGAUUUGUCUGGUUAAUUCCGAUAACGAACGAGACUCUGUCCUGCUAACUAGGUUGUGUUUUCUCGGGUUGGUGUUUCUGGUGUUCCUACUCGGGGCGCCGGCCCAAUCCACUUGUGAACACAACACUCUUCUUAGAGGGACUGGCGGCUGUUAGCCGCACGAGAUAGAGCAAUAACA